UGAGCUUUGAUGGCACUACUGCACUCCAGCCUGGGCGACAGAGCAGGACCCUGUCUAAAAAAGUUUCUUGAAGAAUGAGUGUGUAACACAAAACAUUCUUUUGGGACAUCUUUAUUUCUGGAAAACCUAAGACAUUCUUACUUGUGAAGACCAGAAAAAGAACACAUGUUGUUAGGAUUGGCACAGAAUUCAGUGUGACAGUCAAUCUUAAUGCCAGAACACUUGAACGAGGAUUUUUCACUUAUUUUGCUAGUUGUCACCAACAGUAGCAAAAGGAAAAAUAAAAUGCGGAAGAAUGAAAUGUUCUUACUGCAAACCGUACAAGAUCACAUUGAGGGGCUGGAGCUCUUACAUUCAACUUUUCUUUCCUUUUUCUUCUUUUUAAACAAUUUGCGAUUGCAGCCUCUCCUUUUGUUUCCGGUAUUACCUGCCCAGGAGCAGAAUUCCUUACUUUCUCCGGAGAGAGGCCGGUCCCUGGGAGCGCUGCCGGGGGCGGGCACAGGAGGCGGGCGCAGGCGGGCGGCGCCGGGGCCGUGGGGACGCGGCGCCGAGGGGGCGGGGCCUGGCGGGAGGCUCGCCCCUCCCCCACGGCCGGCAGCGACGCCCGGACUCCUAGGCAGUCGGACUCCAGGGCGCGGCACCCCUGCGGACCUCAGCCCCGAGGCCCCCCGCG
RNAcentral lists this long non-coding RNA (673 nucleotides) under Homo sapiens (human). RNAcentral describes it as "non-protein coding lnc-CAMTA1-3:1". Lineage: Eukaryota; Metazoa; Chordata; Mammalia; Primates; Hominidae. The record is from RNAcentral.